Pelobates cultripes (western spadefoot toad) is the source of this 412-nucleotide non-coding RNA. The record is from the annotation of a GenBank genome assembly. Lineage: Eukaryota; Metazoa; Chordata; Amphibia; Anura; Pelobatidae.
CUCUAUGUAUGAGUUACUAGGAGGGCUCAGCCUCAGUAUGAGUAUACACUAGAUGCUCUAUGUAGGAGUUAUGAGGACAGCCUCUGUAUAUGUAUCCUCCAUAUGCUCUAUGACGAGUUGAUGUGAGCUUUGUAUGAGUUACCAUGAGGACUCAACCUCUGUAUAGGCUCUAUAGAUGAGUUAAUGUGAGAACUCAGCCAUCAGUAUAUGUAUCCACUAGAGGCUCUAUGUAAGAGUUAUGAGGUCUCUGCCUCUCUAUAUGUAUCUACUAUAUGCUCUACGACGCAUUGAUGUAGGGACUCAGCUUCAGUAUAUGCAUCCACUUUAUGCGCUAGGUAUAGUUACUAUAUAGACUCAGUCUAUAUACCCACUACAUGCUCUAUGUAUGAGUUUUUAAGAGGACACAACCUCU